GUGGGGAAUCUUGCACAAUGGGGGAAACCCUGAUGCAGCGACGCCGCGUGAGCGAUGAAGCCCUUCGGGGUGUAAAGCUCUUUCGGCAGGGACGAUAAUGACGGUACCUGCAGAAGCAGCUGCGGCUAACUACGUGCCAGCAGCCGCGGUAAUACGUAGGCAGCGAGCGUUGUUCGGAGUUACUGGGCGUAAAGGGUGUGUAGGCGGUUCUCUAAGUUUGGUGUGAAAUCUCCCGGCUCAACCGGGAGGGUGCGCCGAAAACUGGAGGGCUAGAGUGCGGGAAGGGAGAGUAGAAUUCCUGGUGUAGCGGUGAAAUGCGUAGAUAUCAGGAGGAAUACCGGUGGUGCAGACGGCUCUCUGGACCGCGACUUACGCUGAGACACGAAAGCGUGGGUAGCAAACAGGAUUAGAUACCCUAGUAGUCC
RNAcentral lists this ribosomal RNA (425 nucleotides) under uncultured bacterium. RNAcentral describes it as "bacterial SSU rRNA". It matches the Rfam family "Bacterial small subunit ribosomal RNA", at positions 354 to 796 of the family's 1533-position model. The record is from RNAcentral.